AGGGGCUUAGGAUAACAUAAGUCCAAAGGCCUUCAAAGCCCUAAGCGAGAGUGAAAAUCUCCCAGCCCCUG
RNAcentral lists this transfer RNA (71 nucleotides) under Rexea antefurcata (long-finned escolar). RNAcentral describes it as "tRNA-Trp". It matches the Rfam family "tRNA". Rfam says of the family: Transfer RNA (tRNA) molecules are approximately 80 nucleotides in length. Their secondary structure includes four short double-helical elements and three loops (D, anti-codon, and T loops). Further hydrogen bonds mediate the characteristic L-shaped molecular structure. tRNAs have two regions of fundamental functional importance: the anti-codon, which is responsible for specific mRNA codon recognition, and the 3' end, to which the tRNAs corresponding amino acid is attached (by aminoacyl-tRNA synthetases). tRNAs cope with the degeneracy of the genetic code in two manners: having more than one tRNA (with a specific anti-codon) for a particular amino acid; and 'wobble' base-pairing, i.e. permitting non-standard base-pairing at the 3rd anti-codon position. Lineage: Eukaryota; Metazoa; Chordata; Actinopteri; Scombriformes; Gempylidae. The record is from RNAcentral.